AAAAUUGUGGCGGUCUCAGUUUCAAAUUUUCUACUUUACAUUGCAACUAUGGACAAUUCACGAUGAAAUGUUUCAGCUGCCUCGUGGGGCCCAAGUAACUUUGCUCAAUCACGGUCUGUGCCAAUACGUCGAAACAGUAUCUAAGGGUGACCUUAGAUGAAUAACGACGAUGUCGAUCGUCGGUAUAACAGCACCAACAACAACAAACCAAGGACUAUCACUCCAGCAGCAUUCCCCGUACGCAUAUGGAUAAUGUUUAUGCUGCUAUAACAACAACUAUAUUUAAAUUUUGUAUACAAAACAACAUCACGGAAAAUUAUUCUGUCACAAGCACGCAAAAUGUAGAAAUUGAUACCGCCAAAAUCAAUAAAAAGUGUAAAUUU
Molecule: long non-coding RNA, 383 nt
Organism: Anastrepha obliqua
Lineage: Eukaryota; Metazoa; Arthropoda; Insecta; Diptera; Tephritidae
Exons: 3
Source: RefSeq, a predicted model, not a curated record